This 82-nucleotide transfer RNA is filed under the name Plasmodium adleri (nom. inval.). Its description in RNAcentral is "Plasmodium sp. gorilla clade G2 tRNA Leucine". It matches the Rfam family "tRNA". From Rfam's summary of the family: Transfer RNA (tRNA) molecules are approximately 80 nucleotides in length. Their secondary structure includes four short double-helical elements and three loops (D, anti-codon, and T loops). Lineage: Eukaryota; Apicomplexa; Aconoidasida; Haemosporida; Plasmodiidae. RNAcentral also lists the same sequence under 1 other name. The record is from RNAcentral.
GACAGAAUGGCCGAGUGGUCUAAGGCGCAACGUUAAGGCCGUUGUCCGAAAGGGCGUGGGUUCGAACCCCACUUCUGUCAAC